RNAcentral lists this transfer RNA (65 nucleotides) under marine eukaryotic metagenome. It matches the Rfam family "tRNA". From Rfam's summary of the family: Transfer RNA (tRNA) molecules are approximately 80 nucleotides in length. Their secondary structure includes four short double-helical elements and three loops (D, anti-codon, and T loops). The record is from RNAcentral.
AGUGUAGCUCAGUGGUAGAGCAGCUGUUUCGUAAACAGCAGGUCGCCGGUUCAAUCCCGGCCACU